AAUUUUGACCUUUAAGUACUUUUUCGGGCAUUUUCGUGAUUUGUGCUAUAUUACGGACCCAAAAUUACUUUUUCAAGCAUUGUUUUCGAAUAUUUUUCAUGCAUCAAAGCUCGUUAAGAUUAGAUGGGGUAUCCCUACAUGGCGGGUGGGACCCACGGCGAACGGUUCAUCAAGACUUUAAAAAAAGAAUAUAUACGAUUGCAUUGCAUAUACUAACGGAUGCGAUCAUACCAGCACUAAUGAACCGGAUCCCAUCAGAACUCCGCAGCUAAGCGUGCUUGGGCGAGAGUAGUACUAGGAUGGGUGACCUCCUGGGAAGUCCUCGUGUUGCAUCCCUCUUUUAUGUUUAACCUUUUUUUUUUGGUUAAAACUUUAUGACUCCAUAACUUAUAAACAGA
RNAcentral lists this ribosomal RNA (398 nucleotides) under Arabidopsis thaliana (thale cress). Lineage: Eukaryota; Viridiplantae; Streptophyta; Magnoliopsida; Brassicales; Brassicaceae. The record is from RNAcentral.